ACCCUUCCAUUCCCUUUCCCUUCAUGUCUGAACACUGGUCUUGGUGUUUGUAGAAAGGAAAAAAGUAAUACUGCAGCUUUCUUCACAGGUCUCAUAGUCUGCCAUGAAGCAAAUGGGCAAGUUUUAAACAAGG
This is a small nucleolar RNA of Sorex fumeus (smoky shrew), 133 nucleotides long. RefSeq annotates it as small nucleolar RNA SNORA61. The record is from RefSeq and is a predicted model, not a curated record. NCBI's taxonomy places the organism in Eukaryota, Metazoa, Chordata, Mammalia, Eulipotyphla, Soricidae. The transcript has a single exon.